Molecule: long non-coding RNA, 403 nt
Filed under: Ananas comosus (pineapple)
Lineage: Eukaryota; Viridiplantae; Streptophyta; Magnoliopsida; Poales; Bromeliaceae
Description: long non-coding RNA (ACOM_LNC016904)
Source: RNAcentral
AAUUUACACUUUUUAGCAACAAACACAUUUACAUAUACCAUUAAGCAAAUCUAGAUAUAGUAUCAAGCAAAUUUACAUUCAUAAUAUUCCACCAAUUAUAUAGCAUGAAAUUAAAUCCAAAUCAUUGUCACAACUGAAAUAAACAAUGUAACUGAUAGAUGUAAAUGCAACUAGUCGAAUAUUACAACAUAACAUUAUCACUAUUACCUCACAUUAGCAUGCAACAUAACAUAAACUUUAUCCAAAAUACAAAACGAUUGACAAUAUUUACAAUUAGUAGAAAGACAAACAAUCAACAUCUACUAUUCCAUAAUUGCUCUGUUAUAGAUCUACGUAAACUGUCGCCGUGUCUUGAUUCAUCUGCGCCGGCAAUAUUUGGCGGAUCCUCGUCGUCAUCGCCAGU